Molecule: ribosomal RNA, 254 nt
Filed under: uncultured bacterium
Lineage: Bacteria
Description: partial 16S ribosomal RNA
Rfam family: Bacterial small subunit ribosomal RNA
Source: RNAcentral
UACGUAGGCAGCAAGCGUUGUUCGGAAUUACUGGGCGUAAAGAGUGUGUAGGCGGUGCUCUAAGUUUGGUGUGAAAUCUCCCGGCUCAACUGGGAGGGUGCGCCCGAAAACUGGAAUGCUUGAACAUGGGAGAGGAAAGCGGAAUUCCUGGUGUAGCGGUGAAAUGCGUAGAUAUCAGGAGGAACACCUGCGGUGUAGACGGCUUUCUGGACCAUUGUUGACGCUGAGACACGAAAGCGUGGGUAGCAAACAGG